CAGUCGCCACGGGAAUACGUAGGUGGCAAGCGUUGUCCGGAAUUAUUGGGCGUAAAGCGCGCGCAGGCGGAUCAGUCAGUCUGUCUUAAAAGUUCGGGGCUUAACCCCGUGAUGGGAUGGAAACUGCUGAUCUAGAGUAUCGGAGAGGAAAGUGGAAUUCCUAGUGUAGCGGUGAAAUGCGUAGAUAUUAGGAAGAACACCAGUGGCGAAGGCGACUUUCUGGACGAAAACUGACGCUGAGGCGCGAAAGCCAGGGGAGCGAACGGGAUUAGAUACCCCAGUAGUCCCUGUCUCUUAUACA
RNAcentral lists this ribosomal RNA (301 nucleotides) under uncultured bacterium. Its description in RNAcentral is "partial 16S ribosomal RNA". It matches the Rfam family "Bacterial small subunit ribosomal RNA", at positions 509 to 809 of the family's 1533-position model. The record is from RNAcentral.